GGAAGGAGAAGUCGUAACAAGGUUUUCAAUAGGUCCUUCUCGCUACCCUUUGGGUUGAGUCGCACGGAAGCCUUAGUGCCCAGAUCUUUGUUAAAGCUUGGGUGCUAGUGUCCUGCUUGUGGGAUGCGACGUCAUCAAAUUGCAGGGAUGAAAGGAAUUCGAUGGACUACCAAGCACGGGGCCUUUCGGCUUAGUGUGGCCGGGGAAAAAAUGCCUGGGUAUGGUCAUAAUGUCCAUCGUACUUCUAACCUGCAGCCAAGCCAUGGAAACCAUGUGCUGUUCACAGACUAAAUGAUGGCGGGCCAGAUUGGCUCAAGACAUAGUCGGGCGCGCUCAAGGGCGUGUUUUUUGCCUUUCCGCAAGAGUAUUCACCGUUCCGUAG
RNAcentral lists this ribosomal RNA (382 nucleotides) under Spondylosium pulchrum. RNAcentral describes it as "partial 18S ribosomal RNA". The stretch from base 76 to 344 matches the Rfam family "Group I catalytic intron". From Rfam's summary of the family: Group I catalytic introns are large self-splicing ribozymes. The record is from RNAcentral. Lineage: Eukaryota; Viridiplantae; Streptophyta; Zygnematophyceae; Desmidiales; Desmidiaceae.